AUGCACAUUAGAAGCCUGCUUCUGCACUUUGCAACUUACACGGGUCUGAAAGUGAAUUAUGCCAAGUCAACCUUGAUUGCAAUCAACACUCCAGAGAACAAAAUGCAAGCUUUGUCAGAGUUAAUGGGCUGUCAAAUUGGCUCCUUCCCUCUCCCAUAUCUUGGUAUGCCCCUCAGCAUCCACAAGCCUAGAGUGGUUGAUUUCUUUCCACUGCUUAAGAGAGUUGAGACAAGAUUACAAGGAUGUUCUACUCUGCUCUCAUAUGGUGAUAAGCUGGUACUCAUUAAAUCUGCGUUUGCAAGUAUGCCUAUCUUCUUCAUGAGCAUCCUUGCCAUUCCAAUGACUGUGGUGCAAUAG
This 357-nucleotide ribosomal RNA is filed under the name Triticum aestivum (bread wheat). Its description in RNAcentral is "partial small subunit ribosomal RNA". The record is from RNAcentral. Lineage: Eukaryota; Viridiplantae; Streptophyta; Magnoliopsida; Poales; Poaceae.